AGACAGCUGGCAAGGGUGGUUUAUGUUGAAGAUUGGGUGACAGAGAAGCAUCAGCAAUAUUUGAUGUGCCAUGUGGAGUGUGGAGGAAUCCCAUGGAAGACUUCCCUGAUUCUUCUUCUGAAGCCUGGAGCCCAACUAAUUUAAUGAGGAUUGAUGGACAAGUUAGUAGCCUCAGAAACUAGAGUUUUGAUUUUUAAAAAAGGAGAAAGAUGCUGCUGUUCUUCCUAGAGUCUCAGUCCUUUGGAAGUUCUCCUCUAUAGAGCUCACCUGGUCCACACCCAGGAGAGCUCCUCCCCUUUUGGUUGGUCACAUGACAGCAGGAACGGUUGGCCAAUUAAUGGAAGCCAAGCCAUCUUGGGCAUAUAAGUUAUAGUCUCACUGCCAAUUUGGAUCUAUAGAAGGUGCCUCCCAAAGAACUACAACUCACCAUUGUACUAUAUAUAUAAUACAAUCAAUACACAGUGUACAAUAAAUGUCUUUGAUAGGUGU
Molecule: non-coding RNA, 489 nt
Organism: Pogona vitticeps (central bearded dragon)
Lineage: Eukaryota; Metazoa; Chordata; Lepidosauria; Squamata; Agamidae
Source: RefSeq, a predicted model, not a curated record